GUAACACGUAUGUAACCUACCUUUACCAGGGGGAUAGCCUCUCGAAAGAGAGAUUAAGACCGCAUAAAAUUGCGACACAGCAUUGUGAUGCAAUCAAAUAUUUAUAGGGUAAAGAUGGGCAUGCGGAACAUUAGCUAGUUGGUAAGGUAAUGGCUUACCAAGGCUACGAUGUUUAGGGGAUCUGAGAGGAUGACCCCCAAACUGGUACUGAGACACGGACCAGACUCCUACGGGAGGCAGCAGUAAGGAAUAUUGGGUCAAUGGGCGGAAGCCUGAACCAGCCAUGCCGCGUGCAGGAAGACGGCCCUACGGGUUGUAAACUGCUUUUAUACCGGAAUAAACCUCGAUACGUGUAUCGAGCUGAAUGUACGGUAAGAAUAAGGAUCGGCUAACUCCGUGCCAGCAGCCGCGGUAAUACGGAGGAUCCAAGCGUUAUCCGGAUUUAUUAGGGUUUAAAGGGUGCGUAGGUGGCCUGUUAAGUCAGGGGUGAAAGACGGUAGCUCAACUAUCGCAGUGCCCUUGAUACUGACCGGGCCUUGAAUGAACUAGC
Molecule: ribosomal RNA, 550 nt
Filed under: uncultured bacterium
Lineage: Bacteria
Description: bacterial SSU rRNA
Rfam family: Bacterial small subunit ribosomal RNA
Source: RNAcentral